AUGAACGCUGGCGGCAGGCCUAACACAUGCAAGUCGAGCGGUAGCACAGGAGAGCUUGCUCUCUGGGUGACGAGCGGCGGACGGGUGAGUAAUGUCUGGGAAACUGCCUGAUGGAGGGGGAUAACUACUGGAAACGGUAGCUAAUACCGCAUAACGUCUUCGGACCAAAGUGGGGGACCUUCGGGCCUCACGCCAUCAGAUGUGCCCAGAUGGGAUUAGCUAGUAGGUGGGGUAAUGGCUCACCUAGGCGACGAUCCCUAGCUGGUCUGAGAGGAUGACCAGCCACACUGGAACUGAGACACGGUCCAGACUCCUACGGGAGGCAGCAGUGGGGAAUAUUGCACAAUGGGCGCAAGCCUGAUGCAGCCAUGCCGCGUGUGUGAAGAAGGCCUUCGGGUUGUAAAGCACUUUCAGCGAGGAGGAAGGGUAGUGUGUUAAUAGCACAUUGCAUUGACGUUACUCGCAGAAGAAGCACCGGCUAACUCCGUGCCAGCAGCCGCGGUAAUACGGAGGGUGCAAGCGUUAAUCGGAAUUACUGGGCGUAAAGCGCACGCAGGCGGUUUGUUAAGUCAGAUGUGAAAUCCCCGCGCUCAACGUGGGAACUGCAUUUGAAACUGGCAAGCUAGAGUCUUGUAGAGGGGGGUAGAAUUCCAGGUGUAGCGGUGAAAUGCGUAGAGAUCUGGAGGAAUACCGGUGGCGAAGGCGGCCCCCUGGACAAAGACUGACGCUCAGGUGCGAAAGCGUGGGGAGCAAACAGG
Molecule: ribosomal RNA, 758 nt
Filed under: uncultured Enterobacteriaceae bacterium
Lineage: Bacteria; Pseudomonadati; Pseudomonadota; Gammaproteobacteria; Enterobacterales; Enterobacteriaceae
Description: bacterial SSU rRNA
Rfam family: Bacterial small subunit ribosomal RNA
Source: RNAcentral